GAUGAAGAACGCAGCGAAAUGCGAUAAGUAAUGUGAAUUGCAGAAUUCAGUGAUUCAUCGAAUCUUUGAACGCACAUUGCGCCCGCCAGUAUUCUGGCGGGCAUGCCUGUCCGAGCGUCAUUUCAACCAUCAAGCCCCCGGGCUUGUGUUGGGGACCUGCGGCUGCCCGCAGGCCCUGAAAACCAGUGGCGGGCUCGCUGUCACACCGAGCGUAGUAGCAAUCACCUCGCUCAGGGCGUGCUGCGGGUUCCGGCCGUUAAACAGCCUUACAAAACCCAAGGUUGACCUCGGAUCAGGUAGGAAGACCCGCUGAACUUAAGCAUAUCAAUAAGCGGAGGA
RNAcentral lists this unclassified non-coding RNA (339 nucleotides) under soil metagenome. RNAcentral's name for it is "partial contains 5.8S ribosomal RNA, internal transcribed spacer 2, and large subunit ribosomal RNA". The stretch from base 1 to 120 matches the Rfam family "5.8S ribosomal RNA", at positions 35 to 154 of the family's 154-position model. The record is from RNAcentral.